CAGCAGCCACGGUAAUACGUAGGUGGCAAGCGUUGUCCGGAAUUAUUGGGCGUAAAGGGCUCGCAGGCGGUUUCUUAAGUCUGAUGUGAAAGCCCCCGGCUCAACCGGGGAGGGUCAUUGGAAACUUGGAAACUUGAGUGCAGAAGAGGAGAGUGGAAUUCCACGUGUAGUGGUGAAAUGCGUAGAGAUGUGGAGGAACACCAGUGGCGAAGGCGACUCUCUGGUCUGUAACUGACGCUGAGGAGCGAAAGCGUGGGGAGCGAACAGGAUUAGAUACCCCUGUAGUCCCUGUCUCUUAUAC
This 301-nucleotide ribosomal RNA is filed under the name uncultured bacterium. RNAcentral describes it as "partial 16S ribosomal RNA". It matches the Rfam family "Bacterial small subunit ribosomal RNA", at positions 509 to 807 of the family's 1533-position model. The record is from RNAcentral.